GACGAACGCUGGCGGCGUGCUUAACACAUGCAAGUCGAACGGAAAGGCCCUGCUUUUGUGGGGUUCUCGAGUGGCGAACGGGUGUGUAACACGUGAGUAACCUUCCCUUUACUUUGUGAUAACUUCAGGAAACUGGUGCUACUACCGGAUAGGUGCUCCUGCUGCAUGGUGGGGGUUGGACCGUUUCGGCGGUUGGGGAUGGACUCGCGGCUUAUCAGCUUGUUGGUGGGGUAGUGGCUUACCAAGGCUUUGACGGGUAGCCGGCCUGAGAGGGUGACCGGCCACAUUGGGACUGAGAUACGGCCCAGACUCCUACGGGAGGCAGCAGUGGGGAAUAUUGCACAAUGGGCGGAAGCCUGAUGCAGCAACGCCGCGUGCGGGAUGAAGGCCUUCGGGUUGUAAACCGCUUUCGCCUGUGACGAAGCGUGAGUGACGGUAAUGGGUAAAGAAGCACCGGCUAACUACGUG
Molecule: ribosomal RNA, 468 nt
Filed under: uncultured bacterium
Lineage: Bacteria
Description: partial 16S ribosomal RNA
Rfam family: Bacterial small subunit ribosomal RNA
Source: RNAcentral